This 107-nucleotide small RNA is filed under the name Marmota monax (woodchuck). The record is from RNAcentral. Lineage: Eukaryota; Metazoa; Chordata; Mammalia; Rodentia; Sciuridae.
GCGGGGCGUGGUGAUGCACGCCUGUAAUUCCAGUGGCUCAGCAGGCUGAGGCAGGAGGAUCGCAAGUUUAAAGCUAGGCUCAGCAACUUGGCGAGACCCUGUCUCAA